UACAUAGUUCAAAGUUAGCCCGAACUCCAGAUUGAGACCCUGUCUCAAAAAACCAGAACCAAGCCACACGAAACAAAACCAGCUCAAUUCGGGCCACCUCUGAUGACCCCUUCCCUCCCUCUGGGCCUCCGGAUGCCACCUGUGCCUCCAGAGCCUGCGGCCCACCCUGUCUGAAACACCUGCCACCUGUGUGGUUAGGCUCUGCACACCUGACUCUGGCCCACGCACUUGUGAUUCCCCGAGGGCAGGAAAUGGGGCUGAGUCACCCCCGAAGCGCUGCACAGUCGGAGCUCAGCAAAUACCACAGAAGGGAUGGAAUGGAUGAAGGCAGCCCCGGGACAGCCUGAGCCUCGGGUACCCUCAGGGUCCCCGAAUGCCGCCUGCCUGUCUCACCAGGAGUGAUGCUGGGUCCUGUGGCGGCUGGUGUGGAGUGAGGACCUGGUCCUUCUGUCUGCAGGUUCACAGGAUGACCGUCCUCUGCCAGGCCAGGUGGCUUUAUCCUGUGCAGAGAUAGGGACUUGACCUCAGGCCCCGCCCCCUUCCGAGAGAACAGCAUCAACCUGUUCCAGUCUCUGCCUAGAAAGAAUCCGAAAGGAGAGCUUGCCAGGUGCAGUGGCGCACGCCUGCCAUCCCAGCACUCUGGAGGCUGAGGCAGGAGGAUGGCUGUGAGCUCGAGG
Long non-coding RNA from Fukomys damarensis (Damara mole-rat), 677 nucleotides. RefSeq lists it as uncharacterized. The record is from RefSeq and is a predicted model, not a curated record. The transcript is spliced from 3 exons. Lineage: Eukaryota; Metazoa; Chordata; Mammalia; Rodentia; Bathyergidae.